UGUACGAUUUAACUUGUAUCUUAAAUUUCAUAGCAUAUUGCGUUUGGUGGAGUUUUAGGAGGCUCUACAACUUUGUUGAAGAAUUAUUGUGUUGAUGAUUGACAUAGUUUAGUUGCUAUUUUUUUUUUUUUAUAUCUUAAUACACUAGUAACCCACUGAUAUUCUAUUCUUUAUCAAAAAAAAAAUUAUAAGCUAAAAAUGAAGUGAGCCGAAAGCUGUUAUAGAAUGCUUAUAGAAUAAUGAGGUUGUAAUCACCUCUCGAUCUAUGUUCACUAUACAUGUUCAAGAUUCGUCUAUUUCUUGACUGAUUAUUACAAUAUCAUGCUGAGUACAAUAAUGUUUACAUUAUGUUUUAGGGAGCUUUUCUGGAUUUAACUCACAUCAUUUAGAAUUACAAUUGUACAGCCAUGCAUGGCUGAGUAUUUGACAAGGAGGCUUCGCAAAAGGAUGUUGUCGAAAGAACUCGGCUAUGUAAUCAGGUGGUUUCAAUCAAGAUGAAAAAUUCAAACAGAGCUAUUUGUUCAAGGCUCACUAUUGAUGCAAUUUGAGCGUUAGGAGGUUUUGCAAAUGUAGCUUAACACCAUGGCCAACAUGAAGGACAAAAUAUGUGACAGAGUUUUGACCAAGACAUAAUGAAUCUGUUUGAUGCCGCAUUCAAAACAUACUCUUACUCGGGUCUGAAAGAGCAUCAAAGAAAAGGACCUCAUUAUUAUAAUAAAUGGUGAUUUAUUAUUUAUUAUUAUGUUUAGACUUUAGAGAUACUUAUUAUUACUUACGAUGCAAUGUUGGUGUUGGUUAAGGUAAUACAUGUAUGUAAGGUUGUGUUUGAAGAGUUAGAAUGGUUUCAAUUCUAUAGAAAACAUGUCGUUAUUUAAAUGGCAUGUAACCGAUUCUGGUAUAUGUCAAUACUAAGAGUUGUCGUCCUCUUAAUUGGUUGAGUUUGGUUGAA
Molecule: long non-coding RNA, 949 nt
Organism: Erigeron canadensis
Lineage: Eukaryota; Viridiplantae; Streptophyta; Magnoliopsida; Asterales; Asteraceae
Exons: 2
Source: RefSeq, a predicted model, not a curated record